GACGAACGCUGGCGGCGUGCUUAACACAUGCAAGUCGAACGGAAAGGCCCUGCUUUUGUGGGGUGCUCGAGUGGCGAACGGGUGAGUAACACGUGAGUAACCUGCCCUUGACUUUGGGAUAACUUCAGGAAACUGGGGCUAAUACCGGAUAGGAGCUCCUGCUGCAUGGUGGGGGUUGGAAAGUUUCGGCGGUUGGGGAUGGACUCGCGGCUUAUCAGCUUGUUGGUGGGGGAGUGGCUUACCAAGGCUUUGACGGGUAGCCGGCCUGAGAGGGUGACCGGCCACAUUGGGACUGAGAUACGGCCCAGACUCCUACGGGAGGCAGCAGUGGGGAAUAUUGCACAAUGGGCGGGAGCCUGAUGCAGCAACGCCGCGUGCGGGAUGACGGCCUUCGGGGUGUAAACCGCUUUCGCCUGUGACGAAGCGUGAGUGACGGUAAUGGGUAAAGAAGCACCGGCUAACUACGUG
Molecule: ribosomal RNA, 468 nt
Filed under: uncultured bacterium
Lineage: Bacteria
Description: partial 16S ribosomal RNA
Rfam family: Bacterial small subunit ribosomal RNA
Source: RNAcentral